Molecule: small RNA, 301 nt
Filed under: Vigna angularis var. angularis
Lineage: Eukaryota; Viridiplantae; Streptophyta; Magnoliopsida; Fabales; Fabaceae
Description: Non-protein coding transcript
Source: RNAcentral
AGUCCCACAUCGACUAGAGAUAAGGCCAAUUCAUAGUAUAUAAGUAGGUGUAAACCUCACCUUACAAGCCGGUUUUGUGGGGUUGAGUUAGGCUUAAAUACCAUUUCUUAACAUGGUAUCAGAGCCAUGAUUAGAGUUUAUCUUAGCGAUAUUUGUUAUUUGUUGGAAAUAUUGUUCCACCCGCUAUUGGACCACUCAUUAAUGUCUAGUCCUACGCUCGAGAUGUAUAUACUUUGGAGUGAGGGAGGUGUGUUGGAGUCCCACAUCGACUAGAGAUAAGGCCAAUUCAUAGUAUAUAAGU